UUUUCAUUAGAGAGACUCGAUAAGUUGGAUUUUUCACCUCACUCACUCUUAAUUACAAGAGAUUUUUUAGGGUGUCUAAAACACGGGGCGAUAGGCUACAUGUUAUUAUACAAUUGGAGCAAUACUCGAAAAAAAACUUCCCUCCAAUUGUAUGAUCAUGUGGCGUACCGCCUCGUGUUCUGCGCACCUUGAAAAGUUUCUUGUUAAUUACUAGCUAAUUCCUAAAUAAUUAAGACACUAUUAUAUGUGUGACAACUAACAAGCUGCGGAAGAGUGCACGUAAAAUUUCUAACCAAGAAGAGAACCCCUCCUGAUGUCUCCCACCAAAGCUCACUAAUCAAUUAAUUUGGGCUCUUGAAAUUUGAUCCAACGACUACAAAUAGGGGUCCUCUUUAAAAGUUAUAAUAAUUUUAACCGUAAGAUCAAAUUUCAAGAGCCUAAAUUAAUUGAUUGAUGGGCUUUGGUGGGAAAGAUCCGGAGAUGAUCUCUUCCCUUUCUAACCUAUACCCUUACGUAAAACCAACAAACCAAAGUAAUUAUAUUACUAAUUUUGUUGCUAGAUAUAGGUGUAUCUAAUUAUCUACUUUUGUGUCAGCUUGAGCUCAUUCUUUUACUGCCUCAAUAUACCAUGACCAAGUAACAAGCACACGAAGACUACAUGGUAUCAAUAAAUGUAUAGUUAAAUUAACAAAAGAAAAUAUAAUACAUGUUUUUAUCACAAAUGGUAUCUAAUAUUGACAUAUCUCAUCAACAUGAUAUCAAAAAUGAAAAUCGAUCAAUAUAAUCCAUGAAUAUGAGUGCCUCAAAUCAAUGACAUCCUUCCGUUUAUUUGCGUUAAAUAUUAUGUUAAUGUCACACGACACAUGUAGCUCCACAUGCCUAAUUAAAUA
This 890-nucleotide long non-coding RNA is filed under the name Malus domestica (apple). RNAcentral describes it as "long non-coding RNA (MDOM_LNC001290)". The record is from RNAcentral. Lineage: Eukaryota; Viridiplantae; Streptophyta; Magnoliopsida; Rosales; Rosaceae.